Molecule: ribosomal RNA, 253 nt
Filed under: uncultured bacterium
Lineage: Bacteria
Description: partial 16S ribosomal RNA
Rfam family: Bacterial small subunit ribosomal RNA
Source: RNAcentral
UACGUAGGUGGCAAGCGUUAUCCGGAUUUAUUGGGCGUAAAGGGAACGCAGGCGGUCUUUUAAGUCUGAUGUGAAAGCCUUCGGCUUAACCGGAGUAGUGCAUUGGAAACUGGGAGACUUGAGUGCAGAAGAGGAGAGUGGAACUCCAUGUGUAGCGGUGAAAUGCGUAGAUAUAUGGAAGAACACCAGUGGCGAAAGCGGCUCUCUGGUCUGUAACUGACGCUGAGGUUCGAAAGCGUGGGCAGCAAACGGG